CACCUUCGGGUGUGAAUUAGCGGCGAACGGGUGAGGAACACGUGAAGAAUCUGCCUUCAACUCUGGGAUAACUCCGGGAAACCGGGGCUAAUACCGGAUAUGAGCCUUGAUCGCAUGAUCGGGGCUGGAAAGUUUUUCGGUUGAAGAUGACUUCGCGGCCUAUCAGCUUGUUGGUGAGGUAAUGGCUCACCAAGGCGACGACGGGUAGCCGGCCUGAGAGGGCGACCGGCCACACUGGGACUGAGACACGGCCCAGACUCCUACGGGAGGCAGCAGUGGGGAAUAUUGGGCAAUGGAGGAAACUCUGACCCAGCGACGCCGCGUGAGGGAUGAAGGCCUUCGGGUUGUAAACCUCUUUCAGUAGGGAAGAAGCGAAAGUGACGGUACCUACAGAAGAAGCACCGGCUAACUAUGUGCCAGCAGCCGCGGUAAUACAUAGGGUGCAAGCGUUGUCCGGAAUUAUUGGGCGUAAAGAGCUCGU
Molecule: ribosomal RNA, 481 nt
Filed under: uncultured Actinomycetes bacterium
Lineage: Bacteria; Bacillati; Actinomycetota; Actinomycetes
Description: bacterial SSU rRNA
Rfam family: Bacterial small subunit ribosomal RNA
Source: RNAcentral